CCUACGGGGGGCAGCAGUGAGGAAUAUUGGUCAAUGGACGAGAGUCUGAACCAGCCAAGUAGCGUGAAGGAUGACUGCCCUAUGGGUUGUAAACUUCUUUUAUAUGGGAAUAAAAUGUUCCACGUGUGGGAUUUUGUAUGUACCAUAUGAAUAAGGAUCGGCUAACUCCGUGCCAGCAGCCGCGGUAAUACGGAGGAUCCGAGCGUUAUCCGGAUUUAUUGGGUUUAAAGGGAGCGUAGGUGGAUUGUUAAGUCAGUUGUGAAAGUUUGCGGCUCAACCGUAAAAUUGCAGUUGAAACUGGCAGUCUUGAGUACAGUAGAGGUGGGCGGAAUUCGUGGUGUAGCGGUGAAAUGCUUAGAUAUCGCGAAGAACUCCGAUUGCGAAGGCAGUUCACUGGACUGCAACUGACACUGAGGCUCGAAAGUGUGGGUAUCAAACAGGAUUAGAUACCCCUGUAGUC
RNAcentral lists this ribosomal RNA (460 nucleotides) under uncultured bacterium. RNAcentral describes it as "partial 16S ribosomal RNA". It matches the Rfam family "Bacterial small subunit ribosomal RNA", at positions 338 to 795 of the family's 1533-position model. The record is from RNAcentral.